Molecule: ribosomal RNA, 1009 nt
Filed under: Chryseobacterium joostei
Lineage: Bacteria; Pseudomonadati; Bacteroidota; Flavobacteriia; Flavobacteriales; Weeksellaceae
Description: bacterial SSU rRNA
Rfam family: Bacterial small subunit ribosomal RNA
Source: RNAcentral
GUUUUAUNCUGGCUCAGGAUGAACGCUAGCGGGAGGCCUAACACAUGCAAGCCGAGCGGUAGAGAUUCUUCGGGAUCUUGAGAGCGGCGCACGGGUGCGGAACACGUGUGCAACCUGCCUUUAUCUGGGGGAUAGCCUUUCGAAAGGAAGAUUAAUACCCCAUAAUAUAAGAAACGGCAUCGUUUUUUAUUGAAAACUCCGGUGGAUAGAGAUGGGCACGCGCAGGAUUAGAUAGUUGGUGAGGUAACGGCUCACCAAGUCAACGAUCCUUAGGGGGCCUGAGAGGGUGAUCCCCCACACUGGUACUGAGACACGGACCAGACUCCUACGGGAGGCAGCAGUGAGGAAUAUUGGACAAUGGGUGAGAGCCUGAUCCAGCCAUCCCGCGUGAAGGACGACGGCCCUAUGGGUUGUAAACUUCUUUUGUAUAGGGAUAAACCUUUCCACGUGUGGGAAGCUGAAGGUACUAUACGAAUAAGCACCGGCUAACUCCGUGCCAGCAGCCGCGGUAAUACGGAGGGUGCAAGCGUUAUCCGGAUUUAUUGGGUUUAAAGGGUCCGUAGGCGGAUCUGUAAGUCAGUGGUGAAAUCUCACAGCUUAACUGUGAAACUGCCAUUGAUACUGCAGGUCUUGAGUGUUGUUGAAGUAGCUGGAAUAAGUAGUGUAGCGGUGAAAUGCAUAGAUAUUACUUAGAACACCAAUUGCGAAGGCAGGUUACUAAGCAACAACUGACGCUGAUGGACGAAAGCGUGGGGAGCGAACAGGAUUAGAUACCCUGGUAGUCCACGCCGUAAACGAUGCUAACUCGUUUUUGGGCCUUANGGUUCAGAGACUAAGCGAAAGUGAUAAGUUAGCCACCUGGGGAGUACGUUCGCAAGAAUGAAACUCAAAGGAAUUGACGGGGGCCCGCACAAGCGGUGGAUUAUGUGGUUUAAUUCGAUGAUACGCGAGGAACCUUACCAAGGCUUAAAUGGGAAAUGACAGGCUUAGAAAUAGGCUUUUCUUCGGA